RNAcentral lists this unclassified non-coding RNA (155 nucleotides) under uncultured fungus. Its description in RNAcentral is "sequence contains ITS1". The stretch from base 1 to 105 matches the Rfam family "5.8S ribosomal RNA", at positions 50 to 154 of the family's 154-position model. Rfam says of the family: 5.8S ribosomal RNA (5.8S rRNA) is a component of the large subunit of the eukaryotic ribosome. It is transcribed by RNA polymerase I as part of the 45S precursor that also contains 18S and 28S rRNA. The record is from RNAcentral. Lineage: Eukaryota; Fungi.
AAAAUGCGAUAAGUAGCGUGAAUUGCAGACGCUUUGAACGCCGAAAUUUCGAACGCACAUUGCGCCAUAGGAUUCCUAACCUAUGGCACAUCUGGUUGAGGGUCGUGAUCAAACACAGACAAGGAUUGAGUCUGUAGUAAAGCUAAUUGGUGGAU